RNAcentral lists this ribosomal RNA (427 nucleotides) under uncultured archaeon. RNAcentral's name for it is "bacterial SSU rRNA". It matches the Rfam family "Archaeal small subunit ribosomal RNA", at positions 147 to 575 of the family's 1478-position model. The record is from RNAcentral.
UAAUACCGGAUAGAUCAAAGAUGCUGGAAUGUUCUCUGGUCCAAAACUCCGGUGCCCAAGGAUGGGUCUGCGGCCUAUCAGGUUGUAGUGGGUGUAACGUACCUACUAGCCUACGACGGGUAAGGGUUGUGAGAGCAAGAUCCCUGAGAUGGAUUCUGAGACAUGAAUCCAGGCCCUACGGGGUGCAGCAGGCGCGAAACCUUUACACUGCGGGAAACCGCGAUAAGGGGACCCCGAGUGCCAGCACCUAGUGCUGGCUGUCCAGCUGUCCAAAUAACAGUUGUUAGCAAGGGCCGGGCAAGACCGGUGCCAGCCGCCGCGGUAACACCGGCGGCCCGAGUGGUAGCCGCUAUUAUUGGGUUUAAAGGGCCCGUAGCCGGCCUAUUAAGUCUCUUGGGAAAUCUGGCGGCUCAAUCGUCAGGCGUCC